CCUUUCGUCUCCUAGCCCUCUUAAAUGGAGCCCCAACCCCCUUUCUCCUCAAUUUCUUUCUGCCUCUUCAAUUCUCAUCCAUUUUCGUACUCCACCAAGGUUGCCGCCGUCGGUUUCUUCACAAUAAUCAUGAUUUCAAUACUAGGAACAAUGUCAUCAGGUAGCGAUUUGUAGUAGUGUGUUAUAUGUUGUGUCUCUCAUUAUUGUUAAAUAAUCUAUUGCUAUAGAAAAAGGAAGAUGGGACAUAUUUGAGCCAUUUGAGUUGCUUUACGUGACACAUUGUCAUCCGACAAAGGGUUGGAUCAACGAAUCCACCCAAAUUGAAUAUGUAAUUAAGUACUAAUAUGAUGAUAUAAAUUUAGUGGUAAUAUCUAUUCAGAA
Molecule: long non-coding RNA, 381 nt
Organism: Momordica charantia (bitter melon)
Lineage: Eukaryota; Viridiplantae; Streptophyta; Magnoliopsida; Cucurbitales; Cucurbitaceae
Source: RefSeq, a predicted model, not a curated record